This 497-nucleotide ribosomal RNA is filed under the name uncultured bacterium. Its description in RNAcentral is "partial 16S ribosomal RNA". It matches the Rfam family "Bacterial small subunit ribosomal RNA", at positions 28 to 507 of the family's 1533-position model. The record is from RNAcentral.
GAUGAACGCUGGCGGCGUGCCUAAUACAUGCAAGUCGAGCGAACGGACGAGAAGCUUGCUUCUCUGAUGUUAGCGGCGGACGGGUGAGUAACACGUGGAUAACCUACCUAUAAGACUGGGAUAACUUCGGGAAACCGGGGCUAAUACCGGAUAAUAUUUUGAACCGCAUGGUUCAAAAGUGAAAGACGGUCUUGCUGUCACUUAUAGAUGGAUCCGCGCUUCAUUAGCUAGUUGGUAAGGUAACGGCUUACCAAGGCAACGAUGCAUAGCCGACCUGAGAGGGUGAUCGGCUACACUGGAACUGAGACACGGUCCAGACUCCGACGGGAGGCAGCAGUAGAGAAUCUUCCGCGAUGGGCGAAAGCCUGACGGUGGAAAGCCGCGUGAGUGAUGAAGGUCUUCGGAUCGUAAAACUAUGUUAUUAGGGAAGAUCAUAUGUGUAAGUAACUGUGAACAUCUUGACGGUACCUAAUCAGAAAGCCACGGCUAACUACGUG